UACAGAGGGUGCGAGCGUUAAUCGGAUUUACUGGGCGUAAAGGGUGCGUAGGCGGUUGUAUAAGUGGAAUGUGAAAGCCCUGGGCUCAACCUAGGAAGUGCAUACCAUACUAUACGGCUGGAGUAUAUGAGAGGGUGGCGGAAUUUCCGGUGUAGCGGUGAAAUGCGUAGAGAUCGGAAGGAACGUCAAUGGCGAAGGCAGCCACCUGGCAUAAUACUGACGCUGAGGCACGAAAGCGUGGGGAGCAAACAGG
Molecule: ribosomal RNA, 253 nt
Filed under: uncultured bacterium
Lineage: Bacteria
Description: partial 16S ribosomal RNA
Rfam family: Bacterial small subunit ribosomal RNA
Source: RNAcentral